Long non-coding RNA from Onychostoma macrolepis, 1392 nucleotides. RefSeq lists it as uncharacterized. The transcript is spliced from 4 exons. The record is from RefSeq and is a predicted model, not a curated record. Lineage: Eukaryota; Metazoa; Chordata; Actinopteri; Cypriniformes; Cyprinidae.
UGUGUGUGUGUGUGCGCGCGCGCGUCUGUGUGUAGCCUAUAGUACACAAAAUAAUCAAUUAUUAUAAUUAUACACAUUAACGUAAUAACAUUAAUAAUGAUAUUAUGCACACAGGCAUUUACGCUUGCGUUGCUUGCUGCCCGUUUCCAUGGCAAUGGUGAAGCUCAGACUUUGGCGCACUUUUGGAUUUUGAACCGUGACGUCAAGCCGUUCUCAACCGCCAACCGCGAACUAGACAGUUUGUAAAAUGUUGCGUUUCUGAUUAUUUUCUUUUUUCGAAGAAAACGCAGUCGAAACAGGUCUAUCGAGUUACACUGAAGACACGCACAUUCACGACGAAACAUUAAUUAAGGAAGAAUGGUAUUUCUCCGAGGAAGUAAUCGUCAGCUGGCCCGCUGCGAGAAACCAGACGUCUCAGUUCAUCCGUCUUUGCUGAGUCAGGCCUGGAUGAAAACCUGCUUAAAGAGAGAGUGCAAGCCUGGUGCUGAUGUACCCGGUAAGCUAAAUGAAGAAUUGUAAAACCGAAAAAGCUCAGAUGAUGCUGAAAAGACUGUCAGCUCAGCCUCAGUAAGUAUGCUCUUUUUGACAAUCUUUUAUAUAAAAAAAGAAAAACAGAAACAAAGACUGGACAGCAUUUAAUGCAGCAACUAAUUAAACAUAAGUCCACAAGAAAACAGGUGAAAAAUAGUAGGCUAAAUACUAAAACUGUCAAUUCCAGUUUUUCAAAACACAAUACCACAAAAGACAAUGAAUGUUUAUGCUGCUUAUGUAUCUUUUCAAGACCCCUGUAAAUGAAUCAGAUCAAGAAAUGCAAAGAAGAAUAGAAGGGCUACAGGAAGAAAACAGCGGCUCAGAGAGGAACUUGAAAACUAGAUUCCUGGAUUCUCAAUGAGCUGAGAAGGCUAAGGACAGAGGCACGACCUCAAACUGAAAGUGAGAAAAAGUGAGCUGUGCUUUCCCUAUUCUCAGCCUCAGACGUCACGCCCACGGACCGUUGGCUAAACAUCUGAUACAUAUGACACACAAAAGUGGAAACACUUCAAGAGUUUCAAUGUCGUCAUCGGACUGAUUGAAUUAUACAGGAUUUCCGGGAGACGUGCGUGUUGCAUUCUUUAACGUUCCACCUGGAAACAAAUAUGCCGUGACGCCGAAUUCCUCACGAAAGAAGAAAGCCGUCAUGUUUACAACUGUGAUGACGAGCGCUUAUCAGGAUCAACUAACCGCUGGAUUUUUAAAAGUAUGUGAAAUAUUUAAAGUUCAUGGCAUAGAAUCUGUAAAAUACGUCCGAGAGUUUUACACACCGGUCUGUUAUUGUGGUGAAUAAUGAUGAAACAUGAUGCUGAACGAAAUGAACUGUGAUUGGUUGUUUGACAUGUCGGUCAAACGGCCUCA